UACGGGGGGAGCGAGCGUUAUUCAGAAUGACUGGGCGUAAAGGGUACGUAGGCGGUCUAUUAAGUUGAAGGUAAAAGCCCAGAGCUUAACUCUGGAAAACCCUUCAAAACUGAUAUGACUGGAGUACGAGAGAGGAUAGUAGAAUUUCUAGUGUAGGGAUGAAAUAUGAAAAGAUUAGAAGGAAUACCAAAGGCGAAGGCAACUAUCUGGAUCGAUACUGACGCUGAGGUACGAAAGUAUGGGGAGCAAACAGG
RNAcentral lists this ribosomal RNA (254 nucleotides) under uncultured bacterium. Its description in RNAcentral is "partial 16S ribosomal RNA". It matches the Rfam family "Bacterial small subunit ribosomal RNA", at positions 524 to 776 of the family's 1533-position model. The record is from RNAcentral.